This 332-nucleotide unclassified non-coding RNA is filed under the name soil metagenome. Its description in RNAcentral is "partial contains 5.8S ribosomal RNA, internal transcribed spacer 2, and large subunit ribosomal RNA". The stretch from base 1 to 120 matches the Rfam family "5.8S ribosomal RNA", at positions 35 to 154 of the family's 154-position model. The record is from RNAcentral.
GAUGAAGAACGUAGCGAAAUGCGAUACGUAAUGUGAAUUGCAGAUUUCAGUGAAUCAUCGAAUCUUUGAACGCACAUUGCGCCCGCUAGUAUUCUGGCGGGCAUGCCUGUUCGAGCGUCAUUUCAACCAUCAAGCCCUAGGCUUGCGUUGGAGCCCUGCGGCUGCCGCAGGCUCCCAAAUCCAGUGGCGGGCUCGUCGUCGUACCGAGUGCAGUAAACAUCCUCGCUCAGGGAACGUGACGGGUUCUUGCCGUGAAACCCCCCACAUAUCAAGGUUGACCUCGGAUCAGGUAGGAAUACCCGCUGAACUUAAGCAUAUCAGUAAGCGGAGGA